UGGCUAAACAUAAUAAAUCCAAAUUCUUUGUAACACACCGAAAUGUCCCACACAUUUCUUAAAAAUCUAGACUAAUGAUAAUUUAUUGACAUUCAUACUUUUUAAUCACUUGACUGCCUUUCAAGAACAAUACCAUAAAGGCUCAAUAGAUAAAAAACAAACAAUACCUAAAAAAAUGUGCAAUACAAUGAGUUAGGGUUGAAAGAAAAUAAAGUAUUUAUAAAACUUAUACUAAAUACUCAUAAGUAACAUUAUACAAUAGUUCAAAGUAACUAAGUUACAUUUAUAUAAACUACACUAAACUAAUAUAUUGUUAUAGUUUCGCAUAAGUAUUGACAUCAAACAUACAUCUUAUUUGCAUUAUAUAACUAGUAAAGUAAUACUCAUCAAGACUUAGAGACAAGAGGGAACUUAGGCCAAAGAAAAGCACCCAUAGCAAACUCUCUUUUGUAGGCCAAAUCACCAUUUGUAGGCAACCCAUAUUCCUUAAGGAGACGAUCAAGUUUCCAUUCAGGCAUGUUUUGGUAGUCUUUCUCUGUGUAUCUUGGAUAGUGAAGAGGCAUUUGAAAGUAGCUAACAUCAUUCUUUUUUGGACUCUCCAUAUUUGACCUCUUCUAGACACAAUUUGAAUAUCCUAAUUAUAUUAUAAUAUAUGUUUUUUGUGAAAAAAUAAAAGAAAUUGGUGUAUUCAAUGUUUUGAAGGAGAGAUAGUAUAUAUAUUUGGUGUGUUAAAAUAAG
RNAcentral lists this long non-coding RNA (738 nucleotides) under Cicer arietinum (chickpea). RNAcentral describes it as "long non-coding RNA (CARI_LNC000559)". The record is from RNAcentral. Lineage: Eukaryota; Viridiplantae; Streptophyta; Magnoliopsida; Fabales; Fabaceae.